This 430-nucleotide ribosomal RNA is filed under the name bacterium. Its description in RNAcentral is "partial 16S ribosomal RNA". It matches the Rfam family "Bacterial small subunit ribosomal RNA", at positions 355 to 776 of the family's 1533-position model. The record is from RNAcentral.
UGGGGAAUAUUGGACAAUGGGCGAAAGCCUGAUCCAGCCAUGCCGCGUGUGUGAAGAAGUCCUUUUGGUUGUAAAGCACUUUAAGCGAGGAGGAGGCUACUUGGAUUAAUACUCUAGGAUAGUGGACGUUACUCGCAGAAUAAGCACCGGCUAACUCUGUGCCAGCAGCCGCGGUAAUACAGAGGGUGCGAGCGUUAAUCGGAUUUACUGGGCGUAAAGCGUGCGUAGGCGGCUUCUUAAGUCGGAUGUGAAAGCCCUGAGCUUAACUUAGGAAUUGCAUUCGAUACUGGGAAGCUGGAGUAUGGGAGAGGAUGGUAGAAUUCCAGGUGUAGCGGUGAAAUGCGUAGAGAUCUGGAGGAAUACCGAUGGCGAAGGCAGCCAUCUGGCCUAAUACUGACGCUGAGGUACGAAAGCAUGGGGAGCAAACAGG